UACGUAGGGGGCAAGCGUUGUCCGGGAUCAUUGGGCGUAAAGCGCGCGUAGGCGGCCUCAUAAGUCCGUUGUGAAAGUCAAAGGCUCAACCUUUGAAAGCCGAUGGAUACUGUGAGGCUAGAGUCCGGAAGAGGCGAGUGGAAUUCCUGGUGUAGCGGUGGAAUGCGCAGAUAUCAGGAGGAACACCAAUAGCGAAGGCAGCUCGCUGGGACGGUACUGACGCUGAGACGCGAAAGCGUGGGGAGCGAACAGG
RNAcentral lists this ribosomal RNA (253 nucleotides) under uncultured bacterium. RNAcentral describes it as "partial 16S ribosomal RNA". It matches the Rfam family "Bacterial small subunit ribosomal RNA", at positions 524 to 776 of the family's 1533-position model. The record is from RNAcentral.